This is a long non-coding RNA of Nannospalax galili (Upper Galilee mountains blind mole rat), 303 nucleotides long. RefSeq lists it as uncharacterized. The record is from RefSeq and is a predicted model, not a curated record. The transcript has 3 exons. NCBI's taxonomy places the organism in Eukaryota, Metazoa, Chordata, Mammalia, Rodentia, Spalacidae.
CACUGGCCUGGAGUUCUCCAAGUAAACUAGGCUGGCUGGCCAGCAGGCCCCAGGGAUCCACUUGCCUUCGCCUCCCUACCACCAGGAUUACAAGCAUCUACCACAUACGCACAUUUUUACAUGGGUUCUGUAGAUAGAACUAAGUUACUGACUGAGCCAUCUCCCCAAUCUCUCUUUUUCCUUUUGAUCCACAUUCUUUGAAGUUAUUGUGAGUGCCUCGAGGACCAAGGAACCGUUGAAAUUUCCAAUUUCAGGAAGUUCCAGUGGUGCCCGUCAGGAGGACUCCCAAGCUGGACAGAAGGC